GAUGAACGCUAGCGGCAGGCCUAAUACAUGCAAGUCUAAGGGGUGGCAACAUCACUGGCGAACGGGUGCGUAACGCGUAUAGAACCUACCUUUCACUGGGGGAUAGCUUUUGGAAACAGGAGAUAAUACCGCAUAAGAUAGCACUUCGGCAUCGAAGAGUUAUUAAAGAUUUAUUGGUGAGAGAUGGCUAUGCGUAUGAUUAGCUAGUUGGUAAGGUAACGGCUUACCAAGGCUACGAUCAUUAGGGGUUCUGAGAGGAUUGGCCCCCACACUGGCACUGAGAUACGGGCCAGACUCCUACGGGAGGCAGCAGUAGGGAAUAUUGGGCAAUGGGCGAAAGCCUGACCCAGCCAUGCCGCGUGCAGGAUGAAGGCCCUCUGGGUCGUAAACUGCUUUUGACGGGGAAGAAAAGGGCUAUGCGUAGCAAAUUGACGGUACCCGCAGAAUAAGCCACGGCUAACUACGUGCC
RNAcentral lists this ribosomal RNA (469 nucleotides) under uncultured bacterium. RNAcentral's name for it is "bacterial SSU rRNA". It matches the Rfam family "Bacterial small subunit ribosomal RNA", at positions 28 to 509 of the family's 1533-position model. The record is from RNAcentral.